GAGUUAACCCUCUAAGACUUAAGCAUGCCUGAAGGCACGUAUUUUUUUUGAGGUUAAAAAAUAAAAUUACAGCUUUUCAAUUGUUUAAGAGCUUCGGAGCUCUUCAAAGAUGAGACUAAUAAUUUUAUGUGCCUUUUACCAACCGCCAAAAAUUAUUUAAACGAUUGAAAAGUUCUUAAUUUAUUUGUUACGGCCAAAAACGUGAUACGUGCCUUCAGGCAGCUUUGGCUUAGAGGGUUAAGAGUAAGAAAACCGCAAAUAUAUUUUUUUUUUCAAUUUUUUGGCCGUCUGACUCGGUGUAACCCCCUAAGUUUCUCGGGCCUUUGUUUUCGUGGCUUGGAACCACGAUCAAGGAAUCAUUCGAACUCGCGCUGCUUACUGGAAACGACGUAUCUGGAGAAGCGCAUUAAAUGUUGAAUACUUUUAACCAACGAGUCUAAAAUGAUUACCUAUCAGGAGAAUAAAGUAUUAUUUUGGUCUGUGAACGUGAUCGUUAUAUCGGCGUUAAUCAUCCUUCUUCUUUAUCUACUUCACCUGAAUAAUAUAAUGUAACCAACAACAAAAAAGCUCUGCGAUUGCCUCAGCGCCAAUAUCAAUUUCGCAACAUUACACAAUCGAUUAUUGCAACUAUGUAUACCUGAUGCAUUUUAUACUCAAUUGACUGGCUCUGCGUGGGAAUAUGAUCGCGUUACAGAUAAAUAAAUAAAAAUGAUAAAAAGAAAA
This is a long non-coding RNA of Drosophila ananassae, 723 nucleotides long. RefSeq lists it as uncharacterized. The record is from RefSeq and is a predicted model, not a curated record. Lineage: Eukaryota; Metazoa; Arthropoda; Insecta; Diptera; Drosophilidae. The transcript is spliced from 2 exons.